UUCAAAUCAUUAAUUGAAGCGUAUCAUGCAUUGAUGGUACCGAGGACGUCGCCAAAACAAAUGGGGGAGAAUGUCAAGGACCGCAGCUUUACUUAGCCCCUUGACACUAUCGCAGCCACAGUUUGCCCAACUUCGGCCGCACAUUGUAAAUAUUACUUCAAGUUUGAGUUGUAAUUUUCGUUUCAUUGUAAUAGUUAUUUUAAUUGUAAAAUAGCUCUGAUAUUGGUAAAAGAUUAGUAUGAUUCCUCGUCUUUAAACGUCUACUCCCGUCACUUGGGUUUUUGUUCAGAAUGCUAUUAUAGGGGGUAUUAGUCAUUCAAAAAUCUUUCAAGCUCACUGGUGUCCGCCCCCUGCACCAGCAUUUGUAAUUUUCUGCUUUCAUCAAUUGUAAUUUACUUUCAAUGUAUUCAAAUUCUCAAUUGUAAGCUUUCUACAAAACUGCAAUCAAACUUUCUUUCGUCCCGACGCGACCGAGAAAAGGCGGAAGGUAGUCUAGCGGAGCAGACUACUG
RNAcentral lists this long non-coding RNA (511 nucleotides) under Olea europaea (common olive). RNAcentral's name for it is "long non-coding RNA (OEUR_LNC000472)". Lineage: Eukaryota; Viridiplantae; Streptophyta; Magnoliopsida; Lamiales; Oleaceae. The record is from RNAcentral.